UUAAUGUUAUUAUUUUGAAUAAGAUCCUAAAUUAUAACAUUAACAAUAUUGAUUUGAUAGUUUUUUUUAUGAUAAAUUUUAUUCACUUAAACUGUAAUGUAUUGAUAUUUAAGUUUUUUUUUAUACAUAAAAUUCUAAAAUAUAAUGUAUUGAUAUCUUAAUAUGUUGUUUUAAAAAAAGACCAUGAAAAAACGAAAUAAAGAAUAUGACAUUUUAUAUAGACAA
This 225-nucleotide long non-coding RNA is filed under the name Lathyrus oleraceus (garden pea). Its description in RNAcentral is "Pisum sativum (pea) long non-coding RNA (PSAT_LNC033047)". Lineage: Eukaryota; Viridiplantae; Streptophyta; Magnoliopsida; Fabales; Fabaceae. The record is from RNAcentral.